Molecule: ribosomal RNA, 494 nt
Filed under: uncultured bacterium
Lineage: Bacteria
Description: partial 16S ribosomal RNA
Rfam family: Bacterial small subunit ribosomal RNA
Source: RNAcentral
GACGAACGCCGGCGGCGUGCUUAACACAUGCAGGUCGAACGGAAAGGCCUGCUUUCCCUUGUGGAUUGCGGGUACUCGAGUGGCGAACGGGUGAGUAACACGUGAGUGAUCUGCCCCCAACUUGGGUAUAAGCCUGGGAAACUGGGUCUAAUUCCCGAUAGGACUGCAGGGUGGUGCCUGUGGUGGCAAACGAUUUUCUAGUGGUUGGGGAUGAGCUCGCGGCCUAUCAGCUUGUUGGUGGGGUAAUGGUUUACGAAGGCGGCGACGGGUAGCCUGCCUGGGAGGGUCGACCGCCGCGUUGGGACGGAGAUACUGGCAAGACUACUACGGGAGGCAGCAGUGGGGAGUAAGGCACGAUGGGCGGAAGCCUGAGGCAGCGACGCCGCGUGGGGGAUGCCGGCCGUCGGGUUGUAAACUCCGGUCGACAGCGAGGUAGCCACCUGGUUGGAAGGGUGGUGACGGUAGUGGGAGAAGAAGCACCGGCUAACUACGUG